GGGCUGGGCACUGUGGGGUGACUCCUAACCCUAUCUCAUAUUUAAUUUGGUUUUUCAACUCAUGUCAUAUUCUCUUGUGGAGGGCAUAUAAUUGGUUUUUAAGUAAAGUGAAUUCAAAGUGAGGGUGGAUUUAAAGUAAUUUAUUAUCUGUUCUUGGGGUACCUUGGGUUACUCAAGAACAAAAACCAUUGCUGCAGCUGUGACCACCUUUUUCCCGUCAGAAAAGAUAGCUAAACAUCAGAUCAAGCACAAACAUCUCAACCAAGCAAACUUAUGAUAUUUAACUCUUGGACCCAACUGACCUGUUGGUUGCCACAUCCUCAUUUUCUGUGUUAACAUCUAAAGACAGAGAAGUAGGUUUAUAUAAAUUGAAGGCGUAGCUGAACAAUUGCCUCGUGGUUCCAACUGAACACAAAAUUUCUUUAAAUAUGAAAGCGUUAGCAGAAAUCUUUUCUUGUAAAAAAUUUUCACUGUUAUACUCUUUCUGCUCGUCUAAUUUCUAGCUUGACCUACGAAGAACUGUCAAGACAGCCGGCGAGGGGUUGUGUCGGAGGCAGUAAUGGCUCCUUUAACAACAGAGAACAGAAAAAUCUCAAAAGUGAAGCCUAUUGUCAAGGGACUCACAUUGCCCUGGCUGACUUCCAAGAAUAGAAGAAGGAAUGAAGGAAUGGUUCCUGACCCUGGAGAGUGGAGUACAAGAGAGAGAAAUGCAUUUAGUGCCAAUGACAGUGUUUGAGUGUUAAUCACACUAUAUCAACUUGAAUGGAUGGAGAAACACCUAGUGGAUUAUCAAAGCACAGUUCUGAGUGUAUCUGCAGGUAACUGACAUGUAGGCUAAAACUGAAGUGGGGAGACCCACCCAGUUGUGGGCGGCAAACACCGAUAGGUUCAUAGCUUGGAUAGAAGAAAAAUGGAAAGAGAAGGGAAGUGUAUCUGUUUUGAAGAGCUUCAGUCUCCAGUUUCUACAGCUUUCAAUGCAGACUCACCCUCAUGGCUCUCCAGUGAGCUUUGAGGUCUUCGACUUUGAACUGGUGUUGCAUCCUGAUCCCUUUUGUUCUGUGGCUCGUAUAUCCUGGGCUGAACUGCUGCAAGAUCUUCUAGCUCUCCAGGGUGCAGACAGCCAUGGUGGACUCUCCUGCCUUUCAUCCUGAAAUCCUACCUAAUAAAUCCCCUUGCA
Molecule: long non-coding RNA, 1177 nt
Filed under: Chinchilla lanigera (long-tailed chinchilla)
Lineage: Eukaryota; Metazoa; Chordata; Mammalia; Rodentia; Chinchillidae
Description: lncRNA (ENSCLAG00000027925.1)
Source: RNAcentral